RNAcentral lists this ribosomal RNA (252 nucleotides) under uncultured bacterium. RNAcentral describes it as "partial 16S ribosomal RNA". It matches the Rfam family "Bacterial small subunit ribosomal RNA", at positions 524 to 776 of the family's 1533-position model. The record is from RNAcentral.
UACGGAGGAUGCGAGCGUUAUCCGGAUUUAUUGGGUUUAAAGGGUGCGUAGGCGGGAUGCCAAGUCAGCGGUAAAAAUGCGGUGCUCAACGCCGUCGAGCCGUUGAAACUGGCGUUCUUGAGUGGACGAGAAGUAUGCGGAAUGCGUGGUGUAGCGGUGAAAUGCAUAGAUAUCACGCAGAACUCCGAUUGCGAAGGCAGCAUACCGGCGCCCUACUGACGCUGAGGCACGAAAGCGUGGGUAUCGAACAGG